Molecule: ribosomal RNA, 613 nt
Filed under: bacterium
Lineage: Bacteria
Description: bacterial SSU rRNA
Rfam family: Bacterial small subunit ribosomal RNA
Source: RNAcentral
AAGCUGCUUGCUGGUUCGCUGAGGAGUGGCGCAGGGGUGAGUCGCGUGUGGGAUCUUGCCUGAUGGAGGGGGAUAACUACGGAAAACAGUGCCUAUAACCGAUUAACGCCUUAAGACCAAGUAGGGGGACCUUAGAAUGCUCUUGCCAUCCUAUGUGCUGAUAUGGGAUUAGUCUAAUAUGUGGGGUAACGGCUCACCUAGGCGACGAUCCCUUACUGGUCUGAGAGGAUGACCAUGACACACUGACAACUGAGACAGAGACCAGACUCCUACUCCUAGGCAGAGGUGGCGGAAUAUUGAUCAUUGGGCGCAAGCCUGAUGCAGCCAUGCCGCGUGUAUGAGAAAGGCCUUCGGGUUGUAAAGUACUUUCUCCGGUGAGGAAGGGAGUAAAGUUAGUAACUGUGCUCAUUGACGUUACCCGCAGAAUAAGCACCGACUAACUCCGAGCCAGCAGCCGCGGUAAUACGGAGGGUGCAAGCGUUAAUCGUAAUUACUGGUUAUUAAAGCGCACGCAGGCGGUUUGUUAAGUAUUAUGUGAAAUGCCCGAGGCUCAACCUGCAAAACUGCAUCUGCAUACUGAAACUGCUUAGACUCUCAGUAGCAGGGAGGAGUA